CCCUGGGUGGUGCAAAAGGUGAGAGCACUUGGCUGCUAAACAAGAGGUUGGUGGUUCAAGUCCAUUCAGAGGCA
This 74-nucleotide transfer RNA is filed under the name Loxodonta africana (African savanna elephant). It matches the Rfam family "tRNA". From Rfam's summary of the family: Transfer RNA (tRNA) molecules are approximately 80 nucleotides in length. Their secondary structure includes four short double-helical elements and three loops (D, anti-codon, and T loops). Further hydrogen bonds mediate the characteristic L-shaped molecular structure. tRNAs have two regions of fundamental functional importance: the anti-codon, which is responsible for specific mRNA codon recognition, and the 3' end, to which the tRNAs corresponding amino acid is attached (by aminoacyl-tRNA synthetases). tRNAs cope with the degeneracy of the genetic code in two manners: having more than one tRNA (with a specific anti-codon) for a particular amino acid; and 'wobble' base-pairing, i.e. permitting non-standard base-pairing at the 3rd anti-codon position. The record is from Rfam by way of RNAcentral. Lineage: Eukaryota; Metazoa; Chordata; Mammalia; Proboscidea; Elephantidae.